Long non-coding RNA from Mobula hypostoma (lesser devil ray), 322 nucleotides. RefSeq lists it as uncharacterized. The transcript has 3 exons. The record is from RefSeq and is a predicted model, not a curated record. NCBI's taxonomy places the organism in Eukaryota, Metazoa, Chordata, Chondrichthyes, Myliobatiformes, Myliobatidae.
AGGCCACAUCGGGAGCACCGGACGCAGUAAAUCACCCCAGCCGACUCACAGGUGAAGUGUCGCCUCACCUGGAAGGACUGUCUGGGGCCCUGAAUGGUGAUAACUUAUGGAACACAGAAAACUUGCCAUGUUGCAACAGAAGUUGAAAUGCUGAGAAUAGAGGAGAACAGAUGCGAAGUUACUCCGUAUGUACAAAAAUAGUUGGAUUAAGUCGCUAAAAAGCCAUUGCAAGAACCAAAUGUUUCAGAAGAAAAUAAAAGGGUCAACCUAAUUGAUGAAGGUUUGAAGAUACACAAUCAUCAGACAAUAGCUUUACAUUUUU